ACCGACUCCUAGCGCGCGUAUUCCACAAUUCGUGGGGGCCGUAACUGCAAAAAUGCAUGUAUUCAUGCUUAUGUUCAAUCUACCCAACAAUCCAAAUCUUCUCUAGCAAAUUCAGUUGUUUCCAUUCCGCGGUUGGUGGGUUCUCAUUGAUUUGUGCCUUUUCGAUGCUUUUUGUGUCGGUUUUGAAGGCUGGUUUCGAACUGAUUGUUUUGUGGAUUCUACUGAUUUCGUAUUUCUUUGCUUUGAUUGAUCGAGUUUCAAUUCGUUCUGUUUGUUGUCAAGGAUUGGACCAUUAUGUGAAGAUACAACACUGGUUUUAUGGGGUUCUCUUUAUUGCAAGCUUUCAGAUGCAGAAUACUGUCAUUGCCUAACCUUCCAAUAAUACGAUUUGGCAGUUUUUGGUUGGAAAACUUCCAUCAGUUACGAACUACUUUUAAAAGAGAUUCCAAAUCCAAGUUUAUUGGAUCCAAUAAUUUUGAAGCUUCUCGAGGUAGUUUUAGUAGGGCAUGGAUUUCACGACCUAUAACACCAAGAAUUGUAGAAAAAGACAAUGACAAAGAUACAGGGAGAAGUAAAUCAAGCCACCCCUGGCAUGAAUCAUUGGAAGCAAGUUUGAGAGCAAGAAGUAUAAGUGAAUCAUCAUUCAGUGAAUUCAGUACUUUGAUGCUGAACAGAGGAUUAAGGAGAGCCAAGACUUGAAGCAUCCAGUAAAAAGAUUUGUUAUUGAUGUUGAAACUACUGGAUUUUGCAGGGAGACUGGCUGGAUUAUUGAAAUUGCUAUCCUGGAUCUUCUAAGGGACAAGAACAGUUGUUUCCAAGCCCUCGUAAAACCAGAACAGCAUGUUCCAAAUUCUUUUCUGCAUGGUAUUACAACCCAGAUGGUUAAUGAACCGAAUGUUCCAAGGACGAAGGACUUGAUUCCAAUCCUAAUGAAGUAUGUUAAAAGCCGUCCAUAAACAGGAUCAAAACCAUCGUCAAGAAUCUCACUGCAGGGACUUCACAAGUACCAUGGGAUGCCAGUGAUGGGUUCAAAGCAUAGGGCCAUGUCAGACUUCUUUGAGGUUAAAUAUAUAUAAUUGUUUGUGACUCAUUGGUCA
Long non-coding RNA from Vitis riparia (riverbank grape), 1097 nucleotides. RefSeq lists it as uncharacterized. The record is from RefSeq and is a predicted model, not a curated record. NCBI's taxonomy places the organism in Eukaryota, Viridiplantae, Streptophyta, Magnoliopsida, Vitales, Vitaceae. The transcript is spliced from 4 exons.